Molecule: ribosomal RNA, 429 nt
Filed under: Chloroflexota bacterium
Lineage: Bacteria; Bacillati; Chloroflexota
Description: Chloroflexi bacterium partial 16S ribosomal RNA
Rfam family: Bacterial small subunit ribosomal RNA
Source: RNAcentral
UGGGGAAUAUUGCACAAUGGGCGCAAGCCUGAUGCAGCCAUGCCGCGUGUAUGAAGAAGGCCUUCGGGUUGUAAAGUACUUUCAGCGGGGAGGAAGGGAGUAAAGUUAAUACCUUUGCUCAUUGACGUUACCCGCAGAAGAAGCACCGGCUAACUCCGUGCCAGCAGCCGCGGUAAUACGGAGGGUGCAAGCGUUAAUCGGAAUUACUGGGCGUAAAGCGCACGCAGGCGGUUGAUUGAGUCAGAUGUGAAAUCCCCGGGCUUAACCCGGGAAUUGCAUCUGAUACUGGUCAGCUAGAGUCUUGUAGAGGGGGGUAGAAUUCCAGGUGUAGCGGUGAAAUGCGUAGAGAUGUGGAGGAAUACCGGUGGCGAAGGCGGCCCCCUGGACAAAGACUGACGCUCAGGUGCGAAAGCGUGGGGAGCAAACAGG